RNAcentral lists this ribosomal RNA (236 nucleotides) under uncultured Staphylococcus sp. Its description in RNAcentral is "partial 16S ribosomal RNA". It matches the Rfam family "Bacterial small subunit ribosomal RNA", at positions 104 to 334 of the family's 1533-position model. Lineage: Bacteria; Bacillati; Bacillota; Bacilli; Caryophanales; Staphylococcaceae. The record is from RNAcentral.
GGGUGAGUAACACGUGGAUAACCUACCUAUAAGACUGGGAUAACUUCGGGAAACCGGAGCUAAUACCGGAUAAUAUAUUGAACCGCAUGGUUCAAUAGUGAAAGACGGUUUUGCUGUCACUUAUAGAUGGAUCCGCGCCGCAUUGGCUAGUUGGUAAGGUAACGGCUUACCAAGGCAACGAUGCGUAGCCGACCUGAGAGGGUGAUCGGCCACACUGGAACUGAGACACGGUCCAG